GACGAACGCUGGCGGCGUGCUUAACACAUGCAAGUCGAACGGAAAGGCCCUGCUUUUGUGGGGUGCUCGAGUGGCGAACGGGUGAGAAACACGUGAGUAACCUGCCCUUGACUUUGGGAUAACUUCAGGAAACUGGGGCUAAUACCGGAUAGGAGCUCCUGCUGCAUGGUGGGGGUUGGAAAGUUUCGGCGGUUGGGGAUGGACUCGCGGCUUAUCAGCUUGUUGGUGGGGUAGUGGCUUACCAAGGCUUUGACGGGUAGCCGGCCUGAGAGGGUGACCGGCCACAUUGGGACUGAGAUACGGCCCAGACUCCUACGGGAGGCAGCAGUGGGGAAUAUUGCACAAUGGGCGGAAGCCUGAUGCAGCAACGCCGCGUGCGGGAUGACGGCCUUCGGGUUGUAAACCGCUUUCGCCUGUGACGAAGCGUGAGGGACGGGAAUGGGUAAAGAAGCACCGGCGAACUACGG
This 467-nucleotide ribosomal RNA is filed under the name uncultured bacterium. Its description in RNAcentral is "partial 16S ribosomal RNA". It matches the Rfam family "Bacterial small subunit ribosomal RNA", at positions 28 to 506 of the family's 1533-position model. The record is from RNAcentral.